Molecule: long non-coding RNA, 2460 nt
Filed under: Panax ginseng (ginseng)
Lineage: Eukaryota; Viridiplantae; Streptophyta; Magnoliopsida; Apiales; Araliaceae
Description: long non-coding RNA (PGIN_LNC005248)
Source: RNAcentral
UACAUGCGUCCACAAAAUAAACCAAACUAUCCAUAAAAUUAAACUACUACCUAAGCAUGUGCAAAAAAGCCUAGUUCUCCCAAAAUACGUACAUUCAUCUAACAUAUUCACCGCACGUACGUUGCCCAUUCAUCCCGUACUUCAUCAAUUUGUUCUUGUGUACGUUGGCUCUUACUGUCAUUGCCAGUUUUGGAAUAACUGCAGCACAAGAUGAUGUUGGAGCACCUGCACCUGCACCUGCACCUGCACCUGCACUGCAGAGCGGCACAUCAACACUUUAUGUUCCAGCAAGACAUUUAUAAUGACAUGAUACAUAUAGCAAUAAGCCAACAAUUCAACACUCUAAAAUUAACAGAAGUAUAUAUGAAGGUCAGUUAAAUGGACUUACAAGAUUUGGGAACAUGUUUCUGAGCGGCGCCAUUCGGUUCUGUCCACCAUAAACCUACUCAAUCUUGAAAGGAUGAUGGCUUUGCUGGAUUGCCAUCUUCACUAUGAGUUUGCUUGGGAUUGAAAACUCCACCAAGACCUAAUCCCUGGGGUAGCUGCUCAAGAUCCUGAAGUUUAUGCCUAAGAAGCUCCACCUCUCUGGCCAACUCGUUAUCUCGUUGCCUCAGUUCCUAAUGAUCACAAACACAAAGGGAUAAAGCAUUAAACUUGGUCAAGGAAUUGCUCGACAUUUCUCAAGUAUCGAGGACUGGAAGCCAAAUCUCAAUGCUCAGAACCAUAACUAGUUAUCAAAGAAACUGAGUCACGUGCAAUACCAUUACCUUAGUAAUGUGAAAGUUACAUCCAAUACUAUUGUAUAACACAGUAAAGGAAAAUUUAUACGCCUUGAAUCAAGUCAUGAGAAUUUUUCAUUAUAUUAGAAAACCAGAGUGACCAAACUACUAAUCUGAAAUUCGAAUUCCUGCUCAACACUCAACUACAAUGAAGAGAAAAAAGUAUGUGGAUGCAUAUAUGUUGGAUAAAUAAUGAAAGUAUAGGCAAAAUAAAAAAGAAAGAAGAUUGUGUUCAAGACAUCACUUCACUUCGUGUUGCUUCAAAAUAAAAAAGGAAGAAGAUUGUACUUCUUGAAGCAGAUACGAGGUGAUGUUAAAAGUAUUGGGCCAUAUAGGUAGUCAAGUUUCUGUUCUAAAGACUCUGAUUAUGAACACUACACUAAUGAUAUAAGACUCUGUUCUGAAGAAUUAUAGGCAUGUUGGAAGUGUAGAUCAUAGCUUUAUUGGGUAGGAGCCCUGUUGUCCACGAGCAUUCUUUGACCGAACAGGUAAAACCACACGAAAACCUUGGAAGUAGAUCAUAAUAAGGAAGAUCAAGACAGUAGCAAGCAGAUUUGUCUGCCCGGUAGAAAGCUUCUCGAAGAGCUCGAACUUUGUCUGUCCUAGUAAUUAGCAGAUGGAACAAGGCGAUAACAGCACCUUCAAAUUCAGUAAGUUGUGGGGCUAAAUGCUUUCCAGAUAAUGCUUUCACUGCAAGUUAUUUCAAUAUUUGUUGAGAUUAAGUUCUAGAGCGUACAAUUAGUCACAAUGACAACGGAAAAAGUAUCAAUAGCUUACCAGAUAUUGGUAGCUAUGAACAAAGAAAUUUCAGAUCCAAGACCAUAUAAAACAUUAUGUUCAUGCUCAAACAAGCUUUUGUUUACACGUGUGUUUAUAUUUAUACAUCCAUAUAUAGAGAGAGACAGAGAUUUCUUAGCACAGAAAGGGAAACUAAACACUACGUAAAUUACCAUAUUCUAAAUCUUUUAUCAAUCAUAUCAUUAAUGAUGCAUCAAAGUUCAACUCAAUAUUCAAAAUCAUCCAGGUACAAUGGCAUAAAGAAGAGGCCUAAAAAAUAACUGACUUGUUAGCAGAAGGAUCAGUUAUAGGCAGGCUUAUCCAUCUUAUAUUCAUUUGGGACACCACUUCUGAAUGUAUUGCUAACCUUCUCACCCUACAAAACCAUCAAAAAUAAAGUAAGCCAAAAUAGUUUAAUUUGAACCACAAUAAUUACGUGAAAUUAUAUAUUCAGGACUACAAUAGAAAUAUGUUUAUGUUAUACCCCCAAGUCCACUUGAAUCAAAUCAUCAUUAUGAUAGAAAAAUUAAAAAUCAUCCUCAAUUUUUUUUACAAGGACAAUGGAUAAGUGCUUCAACCAAAAGAAAAACUCAAAACUUUCUGACAAACCUUCAUGUGCAAGUUGCUGCAAGUUUGGCAGCAGAAGGGUCUCUUCAUAGAAUGACCUUUGAUGAACAUCAAUACACAGCAUCCUUUUCUAAUAACUUCAAAUGUGAACAUUAUGCAAUAAUAGAAAAAAGACCAUGCUUGUAAUUUUACCAGUUAGGUGGAGAUAAGAGCAGAUUAACUGGCCUGUUUAUAAAUUAUAAGGGUUGCACUGAUUCCAUGUAUCUGCCUAAAGAAAUAAGAUCCACAAUUCUUUCUGGUGUAUUCUUCCAGAGAACAUGUAAUGAUAAAACUUGAC